GGUGGUUCUUGGGUGACACGCCCCGGAAUCGGGCUCUCUCCUCUCUGGUUCCAGGAACGUCACCCAAGAACCGAG
Molecule: non-coding RNA, 75 nt
Organism: Myotis brandtii (Brandt's bat)
Lineage: Eukaryota; Metazoa; Chordata; Mammalia; Chiroptera; Vespertilionidae
Source: Rfam